This 90-nucleotide small RNA is filed under the name Flavobacterium xinjiangense. RNAcentral describes it as "Flavo-1 RNA". It matches the Rfam family "Flavo-1 RNA". Lineage: Bacteria; Pseudomonadati; Bacteroidota; Flavobacteriia; Flavobacteriales; Flavobacteriaceae. The record is from RNAcentral.
CAAUAGCCCUGAUGGAAGCGGCAUCCUCGUAGUCCCGAUCCCGAAGCAUCGGGACGGGACUCUGAGAUACAGAGGACAGCAGGAAGAUGC